ACACACACACACACACACAUACAUACAUAUAUGAGUGUUUCGUAAAAGCAACAAUACAAAAUCUUAAACUAUAAAAGUGCCACUUUGUCCCACUAUUAUGUGCAGGCCUGGCAUUUUUCACUGGGCUAUAGAACUACAAAAUGAAUUUUAAAUUAGCAAUAUCAUAAUUGAAUGACAUUUUGAAUUAUGUAGUGAUCUAAUUCUAUCCACCAAACAAUUGUAUGUGAAUGUGUGAGACUUAUGGUCAUGGUUAUAGGGAAAUAACAAGAAGAACAAAGUGCAGUAAACGGUAAAACUGUUUGCACUACAAAGUACGUUCAUAAUUAAGACAAUACAUUAAAAAUAACAUGGUAAGAUACAGCAGUUUGCAACAGUAAACAGCAAAACAAGCUGUUUGUACAGCUAAUAUAGCUGGAAUGACACCGAAAGCCAGACACAUUAAAUUUACAAAUGGACGCGCACCCUCUUACAGAAAAAAAAUAAGGGGAAUAUGUUUAUUCAUAUGUUUAUUUAUGUAACGUAAGCGUGUGAAUUUUAAUUCGUGACGUGCUUUCAUGGGUGUGCGCGCGGACCGGAUGGAGUUGCCAUGGAAACGGAGCGCAACACUGCAAAUGUCACGAGGAAACACCCCGUUUCUCGCUGAUUUCACUGUUUUCAGGUGAGUUAAGUCCAUAAAAUCACACAAAUAUUACUUAUAACUGUUGUUGAAACUUCUCUUACUUGUAUUUGACUCGCUUCUGUUGUUUAUUUACUUCAUAGGAACGGUUUACUGUCUUCGAAAAGUCCGUUAGCAUUUCUACCGUUUUAAGACGACGUAUCGUCAGGUAUGAUAACUCUUUUGUGCUCUUAUUUAUGAAAGUUUGGGCUUUUAAUCAAAUCUUCAUCUGUAGAUGAUAGCUUUUGACUGUUUUGUUGGUAAUCUUUCAAUGGAUGAUUGGAAAUUGCUUAAUUUAUUUAACCUUAACAUUUACACUUUACUGUUUAUCGAUGACGUCACGUUAUCAAGGAGCGCGAAAAUUGGCAGAAAACUAAAGUUGUUUUGAUCUUUUAUGGUAAACAUAAAACUGUUCUGCGAUUUCAAGAGUGACAAAAUAAUCCUUCUACAACAGAAGGGAGUUUCCAAGAUUUCAAUAUUUCUGAAGGGAGCUGCUGACAGAGAUGUAGGAAGCGCUGAAAAGAUUCUUCAGUGCUGAUGGCCUGCUGCAUCCAGCAGAGUCGCAGUGAACCUACUGUAAGACAACAUCUCCAAGAUGCUAUUGACCACAAGACUAGAACAGGUUAUUAGAAACUGCACAGCACAGGACUUGCAGGACUUGUGAGGACUUCAGAUGAUACCAGUACUCAAAAGACCUUAGAUGAUGGCAACUAUAGAUGGACACACAAACUACCGCCACUGCAAAAAAAGGUAAUGUUAAUUUGAAAGAGCUGUGCCACAGUAUCAAGGGCUCCCUUAUCACUUCUGCUUUCAGUACUGGAGAGUAAAAGAUGAAUUUUU
Carassius gibelio (silver crucian carp) is the source of this 1495-nucleotide long non-coding RNA. RefSeq lists it as uncharacterized. NCBI's taxonomy places the organism in Eukaryota, Metazoa, Chordata, Actinopteri, Cypriniformes, Cyprinidae. The record is from RefSeq and is a predicted model, not a curated record. The transcript is spliced from 3 exons.